UGAUUCAAAAAAACUCAAAAAAAUUUAAAAAAAUGUACAACUCUUCGCCCCUAAACUGUGCUUUUGAGCUUCCGUAGUGAAAAGUUUGCAAAACCUCACACCCAAUUUCAAAAUACACACAUUGAAAAUUCGCCAAAAAUCUCCGAAAAUUCUGCUAUAAAACUUCAAAACUUCAGAAAUACUUUAAACAUUUGCAGCGCUCCCAAGAAACUAAGCAAAAUACAACUCUAUUUCAGUUAGAAAAUUUACCUUUGCCCAACCGAGUGAGAAAAAAGCUAACAAACUUUCUACAGCGCGUUCUUCUUCUUGUUGUUGCUGUUAUUAUAUGCGAAACACGCGCGCAUCAAAGUUGAAAAGUGCAAUUGAAGUGUAAGCAGCGAAACUUUUGCGCCCACCCACGCAAGUUUUUUUAUUUAAACUAAACUAUAACUAAAUUACACGCCACACGUGUGUUUGCGCUAGUAUUGGUGUGCUCACGCGUACAUACUCGUACAUAUAUGUAUUAUACAUACGCAUGUUGCACUCACCUGCGCUGGCUGACGCUUUCGCUGCGCUGCGCUGCUCGCCUAUUUUGUGGAUAAUUAAACGCGUAAUUGUGCGGCACAAAAACCUUCAUUGUUGUCGUUGUUGUUGUUGUGUUUUAUAAAAGGACGUGAUUUUUCUACGCCGUUGACGGACUGAGUGUGUGAGCAGCAAAGAGUUGCGGAAUUGAGAAAUACACAAGUGAACGAAAACUUUUUGUUAACUGCGAGACUCGGCUGUUUGUGGAGUGUGUGCGUGUGCGUUUAGUAAAUAAAAUUGCUGAAGUUGCGAAAAAAAGCUAACAUCGUUUGAACUUUAAUAAAAAUAUAUUAAAAAUUAUAAUAACAGUUAUAUAACUGUAGCUUCUGUGGAAAACGGAAAAUAUAAUUGAAGGUAAAAAAAUAUACUAUAAUUGCCUCCUCAGCAUUGCAGCGCAUUUUCUCGUGUUGACUUCAGCUUUCUUUUUCAAAGCACGCUAGGACGGGUUUCCAAGUAGGAAACCCGCCAUAUAAUUGUCGUCAAAAUUUUUACAGACGGAAAUAAGCUUGGUCCUGCUGCCGCGGGAAGAGGCAUGUUCUGCUAUCAGUGUCCGCCGUCGCUGCAUCCAUGUGGACCGCAUCCAUCACGCUUGCCAACACUGGAGUAUCCGUUCGCAGCAACGCAUCCAUAUGCAAGUUACUCGUAUCAUCCUUCCAUACAUGAUGAGACAUUCGUGCGACGUAAGCAACGACGUAAUCGCACCACAUUCACAUUGCAACAGUUGGAAGAGUUGGAAACUGCCUUUGCGCAGACCCACUAUCCGGAUGUGUUCACACGUGAGGACCUGGCGAUGAAAAUAAAUCUGACGGAAGCGCGCGUUCAGGUUUGGUUUCAGAAUCGACGCGCAAAAUGGCGUAAAGCCGAACGCCUUAAGGAUGAGCAACGCAAGCGCGAGAAUGGCGAGAGUAGCGGUUCGCUGGACAAGUUGCACGACAGUCGCGAGUCCUCGCCUGACAUUACUGGCGAAAUCGACGAUGAUGAACCAUCGUUGCGUCGCUCGCACAGUCCCGGUCCGCCAUCGGCCAGUCCGCAUGCCAUUGACUCAGACAAUGAACGUCCGCUCUCGUCGACACAGCUUACCACACAAUCGGCUUCGCAAUCGGUCGGUUCGAUAAGCGCUGGUUCGCCUUCGCCCAGUGCGCGCGCCACGCCUCAACAUUGCCCCAAUAGUCCGACUUCGAAUUCCCGUCAUACCGAUUCGCCCAUCGAAGUUGGCGGUCCGAUUUCGUUGACCUCGCGUACAUCGUCCGGCACUACGCCCACAUCGGCGCUACACAGCACGCCCACUACUUUUGGUAGUCACAUUUUCGGGAAUUUCGGUGGUGAUAGCAAUUGCGGCUUUCGUCCGGUGCUCAACGACAACUCCGGCAGCGUGGUCGCUUCUGGUGCUGGCGCACAACGCAGCACCACCACCGCGCAUCCACCACUCUUUCUGCCGCCGCAUUUGGCCUCGCUGAGCUCACAGUUUACACAUCAACCACUCUUUCCCGGACUAAAAGGCGUCUCACCGUUUCCGGGUCUGUGCUCGUGCUGCUCGCUGAAACCGCCCCCACCACCACCUAGCGCCUCGUCGAUAGCUGCUGCAGCCGCCGCAGCUGCUGCUGCCUCUACCAGCUCCGCGUCCGGUGUGCCAAUUUCUUCUGCUGCGCCCUCCGCCAGCAGCUCACCCGACUCGCCAACCCACGUCACCUCGGUCCUAAGCCAGUCGGCGCAUAACAAUCACGAUGCACGUUCCAGCUCUGUAGCCGAAUUGCGUCGCAAGGCACAAGAACACUCUGCCGCGCUGCUGCAAUCACUACACGCCGCCGCCGCAGCUGGCUUGGCAUUUCCGGGUCUACACUUGCCACCGCUCUCGUUCCAUCAUCAUUCCGCCGCUGCGUUGAGCAAUGCGCACGCUGCCGCAGCCGCCGCUGUCGCAAAUAAUAACAACAAUCACAAUAAUAACAAUAACAAUAAUAAUGGUGUGCGGCUGAAAAGCGAGUCGGCUCAGGAUAUGACGGCGAGUACCAUGAAUGGCCUAUCGGCUGCAGCGGCAGCGGCCGCGGCGGCUGCCAACAAUCAUCACAGCAUUGCCAGUUUGACGCUGCUCGAUGCGCAGAACGCGGCGUAUCAUCAUCACCAGCAGCAGCAGCAGCAACAACAGCUAUCGCAGGCGGCUGCACUGCAUCUGCAACAACAACACCAGCAGCAGCAGCAACUGUCGCCGCCGAUAACGCCGACACACACGCCCACACUUCAUCGCCAGGACACGCCGCCCAAGUGCACAGCCAACGGUGCCGGUGGCGGUGCCGUCGCCAUAACGAAAAGUGAAUAAUUGUAGUCAGCGGUUCCCAAAUGUACUCAAAGCAGCAAAUAAGUGAAGUUUUAAUAUUAUAAUAAGUGAAAUGAUAAAAGCAAUAGAAAGUAUUGGUGGAAGCUGCCGCGCAAGAAGCCACUACUACAAUCACCAAUAAUAUUUACUAUAACUUUCUAAAUAUAUUGUAAAUCGAUAAUUAAUAUGCAUUUAU
RNAcentral lists this unclassified non-coding RNA (3068 nucleotides) under Bactrocera tryoni. RNAcentral's name for it is "homeotic protein ocelliless, transcript variant X1". Lineage: Eukaryota; Metazoa; Arthropoda; Insecta; Diptera; Tephritidae. The record is from RNAcentral.